GCCACAGCCAUAUCACCCUGCAGCCCAAGACUGGUUGCCCACUGAAGCUAAGCAGAGUUGAGCCUGGUCAGUACCUGGAUAGGAGACUUCCUGGCAAAACUGGGUUGCUGCUGGAA
This 116-nucleotide ribosomal RNA is filed under the name Sinocyclocheilus anshuiensis. Lineage: Eukaryota; Metazoa; Chordata; Actinopteri; Cypriniformes; Cyprinidae. The record is from RNAcentral.